Molecule: ribosomal RNA, 253 nt
Filed under: uncultured bacterium
Lineage: Bacteria
Description: partial 16S ribosomal RNA
Rfam family: Bacterial small subunit ribosomal RNA
Source: RNAcentral
UACGUAGGGGGCUAGCGUUGUCCGGAUUUCCUGGGCGUAAAGAGCGUGUAGGCGGCCAAACAGGUCCGUUGUGAAAACUGGAGGCUCAACCUCCAGACGUCGACGGAAACCGUGUGGCUAGAGUCCGGAAGAGGAGAGUGGAAUUCCUGGUGUAGCGGUGAAAUGCGCAGAUAUCAGGAAGAACACCAAUGGCGAAGGCAGCUCUCUGGGACGGUACUGACGCUGAGACGCGAAAGCGUGGGGAGCGAACAGG